Sphaerodactylus townsendi is the source of this 569-nucleotide long non-coding RNA. RefSeq lists it as uncharacterized. The record is from RefSeq and is a predicted model, not a curated record. Lineage: Eukaryota; Metazoa; Chordata; Lepidosauria; Squamata; Sphaerodactylidae. The transcript is spliced from 4 exons.
AGGAACAUCUGCGCCUGGCCCAAGUCCAGAGCAGGAGGAGGAGAGAGAGAGGAGGGGAGAGUCUUGCCCUGACAAGGGGACAGCUGGAGAGCAAGGCAGCCAGACUGUUGCUGAGGGGGCCUCAGGGGCCCAUGCUGGAGUUUCCUCCACCUCUUACAAAAUGAAAAUGGUCAUCAAGCGCAAAUAGAAUCCACAGUGAGCUGUGUCCAGUGAAGUGCAACCAGCAGGCCCAACAUGAAGAAAAUACCAAAAAAAUGAGAAGAAAAUACAAAGAAAGCAAGACACGAAGUUCAAAAUAACAAUAAUCAUAUCCUCAUUGACUCCGCUUAUCAAAAGUGAUGGGUUAAUUGCUCUUGUGGGUGUGAACUUUAAUUCAGAGAAUGCAUUGUGAAAUUUGUAUCCAGUAGUGCCUCAAUAUUUUAAAUGGAUGUGAUCUCUAUCACCACAGUAAUUUUAAGUACAAGUUUGCCAGGUCUAGAAUUAAAAUCUUUGAUUUUAUUAAUGACUUCCUGAUGAUGUAAAUUCCAGAUUGUUACCAUUAACUUUGGGGAAUAAACUAUAUAAUCUCU